UACGGGGGGUGCAAACGUUGCUCGGAAUCAUUGGGCGUAAAGGGCGCGUAGGCGGUCCUUUAAGUCAGAUGUGAAAGCCCUCGGCUUAACCGAGGAAGUGCAUUUGAUACUAAGAGACUUGAGUAUGGGAGAGGGAAGCGGAAUUCCUGGUGUAGCGGUGAAAUGCGUAGAUAUCAGGAGGAACACCGGUGGCGAAGGCGGCUUCCUGGACCAAUACUGACGCUGAGGCGCGAAGGCGUGGGGAGCAAACAGG
Molecule: ribosomal RNA, 253 nt
Filed under: uncultured bacterium
Lineage: Bacteria
Description: partial 16S ribosomal RNA
Rfam family: Bacterial small subunit ribosomal RNA
Source: RNAcentral